This 482-nucleotide ribosomal RNA is filed under the name uncultured bacterium. Its description in RNAcentral is "partial 16S ribosomal RNA". It matches the Rfam family "Bacterial small subunit ribosomal RNA", at positions 30 to 507 of the family's 1533-position model. The record is from RNAcentral.
AUUGAACGCUGGCGGCAUGCCUUACACAUGCAAGUCGAACGGUAACAGGUCUUCGGAUGCUGACGAGUGGCGAACGGGUGAGUAAUACAUCGGAACGUGCCCGAUCGUGGGGGAUAACGAGGCGAAAGCUUUGCUAAUACCGCAUACGAUCUACGGAUGAAAGCGGGGGAUCUUCGGACCUCGCGCGGACGGAGCGGCCGAUGGCAGAUUAGGUAGUUGGUGGGAUAAAAGCUUACCAAGCCGACGAUCUGUAGCUGGUCUGAGAGGAUGAUCAGCCACACUGGGACUGAGACACGGCCCAGACUCCUACGGGAGGCAGCAGUGGGGAAUUUUGGACAAUGGGCGAAAGCCUGAUCCAGCCAUGCCGCGUGCAGGAUGAAGGCCUUCGGGUUGUAAACUGCCUUUGUACGGAACGAAAAGCCUCUUUCUAAUAAAGAGGGGUCAUGACGGUACCGUAAGAAUAAGCACCGGCUAACUACGUG